Oryza sativa Japonica Group (Japanese rice) is the source of this 416-nucleotide non-coding RNA. The record is from RefSeq and is a predicted model, not a curated record. Lineage: Eukaryota; Viridiplantae; Streptophyta; Magnoliopsida; Poales; Poaceae.
AUCCGUAUAUGUGUCCUAUAAUCAUAUUCUUAAAUGAGGAGAUGGUCAGGGUACAUUUUAAAGCAAAGGUGAGUAGAAGCUGAAAGUUAAUUUCCCCUCCUUUGAUGUUUGAGGGAGAAGAUCCCUGUUGAUGCAUAAAAUGGAUGCAUCAGAAGAAAAACGAUGGUUGUUGUCUGGUGAAAAAGACCUCACAUGCCUUAAUUUUGGUUUGUUUCUUGUACAGACAUGCUCAAGCGAAGAAAAUAUAUGGUGUUGGAGGAAGAGCAAGAUACGCGCUGAACGACAUGAUCGAACUGUAGCUCUUGCUCAGCGAGUACAAAAGCCUAAGAAGGAUUCGAGCAGGCAGCGCCAAACUUCUGAGAUCAAACAUGCUGAGAAAUGUGAAAAAACAACACCCACAAACUUCUGACAAGAAC